AAGAAGACAGCUAAAUGAAGUGUUAAAUUGUAGCUUUAAUUAUGGGUUACUCCCUCUUCUUA
Molecule: transfer RNA, 62 nt
Filed under: Musculium lacustre
Lineage: Eukaryota; Metazoa; Mollusca; Bivalvia; Venerida; Sphaeriidae
Description: tRNA-Tyr
Source: RNAcentral